RNAcentral lists this ribosomal RNA (254 nucleotides) under uncultured bacterium. RNAcentral describes it as "partial 16S ribosomal RNA". It matches the Rfam family "Bacterial small subunit ribosomal RNA", at positions 524 to 776 of the family's 1533-position model. The record is from RNAcentral.
UACGGAGGGUGCGAGCGUUGUCCGGAAUCACUGGGCGUAAAGGGCGCGUAGGCGGCCCGCGCAAGCGUGCGGUGAAAGCCCGGGGCUCAACCCCGGGUCGGCCGUGCGGACUGCGGGGCUCGAGCACUGUAGGGGCAGAUGGAAUUCUGGGUGUAGCGGUGGAAUGCGUAGAGAUCCGGAAGAACACCGGUGGCGAAGGCGGUCUGCUGGGCAGUAGCUGACGCUGAGGCGCGACAGCGUGGGGAGCAAACAGG